This 346-nucleotide ribosomal RNA is filed under the name uncultured eukaryote. Its description in RNAcentral is "SSU rRNA". It matches the Rfam family "Eukaryotic small subunit ribosomal RNA", at positions 594 to 945 of the family's 1831-position model. The record is from RNAcentral.
AUAGCGUAUAUUAAAGUUGUUGCAGUUAAAAAGCUCGUAGUUGAACCUUGGGCCUGGCUGGCCGGUCCGCCUCACCGCGUGCACUGGUCCGGCCGGGUCUUUCCUUCUGGGGAGCCGCAUGCCCUUCACUGGGUGUGUCGGGGAACCAGGACUUUUACUUUGAAAAAAUUAGAGUGUUCAAAGCAGGCCUUUGCUCGAAUACAUUAGCAUGGAAUAAUAGAAUAGGACGUGUGGUUCUAUUUUGUUGGUUUCUAGAGCCGCCGUAAUGAUUAAUAGGGAUAGUCGGGGGCAUCAGUAUUCAAUUGUCAGAGGUGAAAUUCUUGGAUUUAUUGAAGACUAACUAUUG